Molecule: microRNA, 23 nt
Filed under: Dinoponera quadriceps
Lineage: Eukaryota; Metazoa; Arthropoda; Insecta; Hymenoptera; Formicidae
Description: dqu-miR-971-5p
Gene: dqu-miR-971-5p
Source: miRBase by way of RNAcentral
CACUCUAAGUUCGGAUACCAAGC